This 253-nucleotide ribosomal RNA is filed under the name uncultured bacterium. RNAcentral describes it as "partial 16S ribosomal RNA". It matches the Rfam family "Bacterial small subunit ribosomal RNA", at positions 524 to 776 of the family's 1533-position model. The record is from RNAcentral.
GACGAACCGUGCGAACGUUGUUCGGAUUCACUGGGCUUAAAGGGCGCGUAGGCGGGUGAUCAAGUCCGGGGUGAAAUCCUCCAGCUUAACUGGAGAAUAGCCUUGGAUACUGGUCGCCUCGAGUGAGAUAGGGGCGGGUGGAACUUCCGGUGGAGCGGUGAAAUGCGUAGAUAUCGGAAGGAACGCCGGUGGCGAAAGCGACCCGCUGGAUCUCUUCUGACGCUGAGGCGCGAAAGCCAGGGGAGCAAACGGG